Molecule: ribosomal RNA, 384 nt
Filed under: uncultured eukaryote
Lineage: Eukaryota
Description: SSU rRNA
Rfam family: Eukaryotic small subunit ribosomal RNA
Source: RNAcentral
AGCUCCAAUAGCGUAUACUAACGUUGUUGCAGUUAAAAAGCUCGUAGUUGGAUUUCUGUUAGGGUGAGGCGGCCGGCCACUCGUGGUUGUAGCUUGUUAUCACCUUGGCAUCUUGUCACAAUCCGUGAUGGCAUUAACUUGUUGUCGCUGGGGACUGACUCGUUUACUUUGAGAAAAUUAGAGUGUUCAAAGCAGGCUAUCGCCUUGAAUAUAUUAGCAUGGAAUAAUAAUAUAGGACUUCAUGUUCUAUUUGUUGGUUGUUCGAGAACUAAAGUAAUGAUUGAUAGGGACGGUUGGGGGCAUCCGUAUUCUCAAGCGAGAGGUGAAAUUCUUGGACCUUGGGAAGACGAACAGCUGCGAAAGCGUUUGCCUAGGACGUUCUCU